AUUGAACGCUGGCGGAAUGCUUUACACAUGCAAGUCGAACGGCAGCACGGACUUCGGUCUGGUGGCGAGUGGCGAACGGGUGAGUAAUGUAUCGGAACGUGCCCAGUCGUGGGGGAUAACGUAGUGAAAAUUACGCUAAUACCGCAUACGAUCUAUGGAUGAAAGCGGGGGAUCGCAAGACCUCGCGCGAUUGGAGCGGCCGAUAUCAGAUUAGGUAGUUGGUGGGGUAAAGGCCCACCAAGCCAACGAUCUGUAGCUGGUCUGAGAGGACGACCAGCCACACUGUAACUGAGACACGGUCCAGACUCCUACGGGAGGCAGCAGUGGGGAAUUUUGGACAAUGGGCGAAAGCCUGAUCCAGCCAUUCCGCGUGCAGGAUGAAGGCCCUCGAGUUGUAAACUGCUUUUGUACAGAACGAAAAGGUUUCUACUAAUACUAGGAGCUCAUGACGGUACUGUAAGAAUAAGCACCGGCUAACUACGUGCCAGCAGCCGCAGUAA
This 500-nucleotide ribosomal RNA is filed under the name uncultured bacterium. RNAcentral's name for it is "partial 16S ribosomal RNA". It matches the Rfam family "Bacterial small subunit ribosomal RNA", at positions 30 to 523 of the family's 1533-position model. The record is from RNAcentral.